This 21-nucleotide non-coding RNA is filed under the name Caenorhabditis elegans. The record is from RNAcentral. Lineage: Eukaryota; Metazoa; Nematoda; Chromadorea; Rhabditida; Rhabditidae.
UUUUGUCCUUUUUUUGGGAAU